RNAcentral lists this ribosomal RNA (482 nucleotides) under uncultured bacterium. RNAcentral's name for it is "partial 16S ribosomal RNA". It matches the Rfam family "Bacterial small subunit ribosomal RNA", at positions 30 to 507 of the family's 1533-position model. The record is from RNAcentral.
AUUGAACGCUGGCGGCAUGCUUUACACAUGCAAGUCGAACGGUAACAGGCCGCAAGGUGCUGACGAGUGGCGAACGGGUGCGUAAUGCAUCGGAACGUGCCCAGUCGUGGGGGAUAACUACUCGAAAGAGUAGCUAAUACCGCAUACGAUCUAUGGAUGAAAGCGGGGGACCGUAAGGCCUCGCGCGAUUGGAGCGGCCGAUGUCAGAUUAGGUAGUUGGUGGGGUAAAGGCUCACCAAGCCAACGAUCUGUAGCUGGUCUGAGAGGACGACCAGCCACACUGGGACUGAGACACGGCCCAGACUCCUACGGGAGGCAGCAGUGGGGAAUUUUGGACAAUGGGAGCAAGCCUGAUCCAGAAAUGCCGAGUGCAGGAAGAAGGCCUUCGGGUUGUAAACUGAUUUUGUACGGAACGAAACGGCUCUGGUUAAUACCCGGGGCUAAUGACGGUACCGUAAGAAUAAGCACCGGCUAACUACGUG